This is a non-coding RNA of Solanum tuberosum (potato), 96 nucleotides long. Lineage: Eukaryota; Viridiplantae; Streptophyta; Magnoliopsida; Solanales; Solanaceae. The record is from Rfam.
AGGCCAUGAAGAAAUCAAUCAUUUCUCGAUGCUGAUAUAUAACUAUAUCAAAGUUAUAUACUUUUUUGAUGACCUAUUUGUGCGUGUCUGAGCCUU